GUCAGGACUCAGGGCAGAAGGAACAACAUUCCCAUCACUGUUCACAAAAAGCCAAAGCACGCGCUGCCAAAACGCCGCCGUGCAGGCUGCAGCAGCGCCUACUGCUGCGCUGCUUUUUUUUAUUGGUCUUCACUUCACCGGCGGGAGAACUACCUUUACAAUGCCAUACGACUCUCUGCUCUCUAUUCUACAUGCCAUACACGAAACAGCAAGAGCUAAGAACAAAAUCUACAAAAAAGAAAAAAAAAACUGUACACACGAGCAACGCCUACUAGCGGCGUCGACCAUAUGGCCGGGCCACCUUGGUUGGUCUGUCUGAUCGGUCCGGUGACCGGAGCCGUCAGAACGAGUCGGACAGGAGCCAAGUCUCGAACGCCUCCAGCUCG
RNAcentral lists this unclassified non-coding RNA (386 nucleotides) under Zea mays. Its description in RNAcentral is "misc RNA Zm00001eb014270". Lineage: Eukaryota; Viridiplantae; Streptophyta; Magnoliopsida; Poales; Poaceae. The record is from RNAcentral.